Arachis ipaensis is the source of this 626-nucleotide non-coding RNA. The record is from RefSeq and is a predicted model, not a curated record. NCBI's taxonomy places the organism in Eukaryota, Viridiplantae, Streptophyta, Magnoliopsida, Fabales, Fabaceae.
GGUUCUUUAAAAGGAUUUCAAGGAAUUCAUUGAUUGACACAUAAGGAAAUGCCCUAUUCACUUUGAGUAAGUAAAAACAACAUAAAAAAAAGAAUUUCACAAUCAUUAAUCAAUGUCAGUUAUUGAAAAUUACAGUAACAUGCUUACAGUUAGGAGUGCUGAAAAAAGCCGGGAGUCCAAUUCAGCAUGUGAUUCAGGUAGUCCGCAAAAACGAUCCUUUAGGAAGAGAUGUUGAACUCUUUCGUUGGCAUUAUUACGCUCCAGGUCAAGUUGGUCCAGCCUCUAAGGGUAUACUCCUGCUGACUGAUCGAAAGUAGCGUUUUUGUCUAAUGGUUUAUUUGUCGAGGAGGUGUAUUUGUCAAUGGCUCUGAGCAAGUCACCAUCAUGCAAUCUAAAAGAAAUAUGAUCAAUAUAAAAUCUUGUUUGUUUAAAUUGUUGAAAAUGAAGGAACUAGUAGUGUCAAUGAGUAAUGUAAAUAGUUAUAGUUCUGUCAAUAGUUUAUUUUUUUGGGUACCUUUUUAUGAUAGUCAUAUAUUGGCCAAUGAUGUUGAAAAAUAACAUCCAAUUUUAUAGGUAUUAUGUAAUGAAUAUUAUGUUUAUCUAUAUAAUUUUUGGUCUUUUUUUUU